This 206-nucleotide ribosomal RNA is filed under the name uncultured bacterium. RNAcentral's name for it is "partial 16S ribosomal RNA". It matches the Rfam family "Bacterial small subunit ribosomal RNA", at positions 326 to 538 of the family's 1533-position model. The record is from RNAcentral.
ACGCUCGACACCUACGGGACGCAGCAGUCGGGAAUAUUGCGCAAUGGAGGAAACUCUGACGCAGUGACGCCGCGUGCAGGAAGAAGGUUUUCGGAUUGUAAACUGCUUUAGACAGGGAAGAAAGAAAUGACAGUACCUGUAGAAUAAGCUCCGGCUAACUACGUGCCAGCACGCCGGCGGUAUCUGAGGCGGGCGUGGACGAAGGC